RNAcentral lists this microRNA precursor (193 nucleotides) under Oryza brachyantha (malo sina). Its description in RNAcentral is "MIR812 microRNA precursor family". It matches the Rfam family "MIR812 microRNA precursor family". The record is from Rfam by way of RNAcentral. Lineage: Eukaryota; Viridiplantae; Streptophyta; Magnoliopsida; Poales; Poaceae.
AAUAAAUAAAUUUGUGAGUUUUUAUAGAAUUUUUGACUAUUCGUCUUAUUUAAAAUAUUUUUAUGAUUAAUAAUAAUAUUAUUAUUGCAUGAUAAAAUAUAAAUAGUAUUUUACGUGUGACUAAUUUUUUUAACUUUUAAUAAUUUUUUUAAAUAAGACCGAUGGUCAAAGUUCGAACUAGAAAACCCAUAAA